This 439-nucleotide ribosomal RNA is filed under the name uncultured bacterium. RNAcentral's name for it is "partial 16S ribosomal RNA". It matches the Rfam family "Bacterial small subunit ribosomal RNA", at positions 339 to 795 of the family's 1533-position model. The record is from RNAcentral.
CUACGGGGGGCUCCAGUGGGAAAUCUUAGACAAUGGGGGAAACCCUGAUCUAGCCAUGCCGCGUGAGCGACGACGGCCCUAGGGUUGUAAAGCUCUUUCAGCAGGGAAGAUAAUGACGGUACCUGCAGAAGAAGUCCCGGCUAACUCCGUGCCAGCAGCCGCGGUAAUACGGAGGGGACUAGCGUUGUUCGGAAUUACUGGGCGUAAAGCGCGCGUAGGCGGAUUGUUAAGUCGGGGGUGAAAUCCCGGGGCUCAACCCCGGAACUGCCCUCGAUACUGGCAGUCUUGAGUUCGAGAGAGGUGAGUGGAAUUCCGAGUGUAGAGGUGAAAUUCGUAGAUAUUCGGAGGAACACCAGUGGCGAAGGCGGCUCACUGGCUCGAUACUGACGCUGAGGUGCGAAAGCGUGGGGAGCAAACAGGAUUAGAUACCCGGGUAGUC